GGGAUUCGAUGAGUACAUGAACUUGGUCCUCGAUGAUGCUGAGGAAAUCAAUGUCAAGAAAAACACUAGGAAGACACUGGGCCGGAUACUCCUCAAAGGUGACAACAUAACUUUGAUGAUGAACAUUGGCAAGUGAAGGUUCUUAUGGCAGGAACGAUGUUUGGUGCUCGCGUUGAGUAUUUCUGGCACGUUGUACUCCAUCCAUUCAGACUUACAUGUAUCAUGUCAUUAUGGAUUAGUGAGGGAGUUGUACCUGCUGUUAUGUUGUGGCGAUGAGCUGGUCACUUGUGUGUGCCAUAUUGGCAUCUUAUGUUCAGCUUGACCUGAAGUUUUGCUCUGCCCUCUACUCUCCACGCUAACUUGGCGGGAUCAGAUCAACAUGAGAUGUGCUGAAUUAUCAA
This is a long non-coding RNA of Zea mays, 401 nucleotides long. RefSeq lists it as uncharacterized. Lineage: Eukaryota; Viridiplantae; Streptophyta; Magnoliopsida; Poales; Poaceae. The transcript is spliced from 3 exons. The record is from RefSeq and is a predicted model, not a curated record.